ACAGUAUGUGGGAAUUAUGGGAGCUAUAAUUCAAGAUGAGAUUUGGGUGGGACACAGCCAAACCAUAUCACUAGGUAAGAAGAGGGCUCCAUGCUAAGGAACAGGAUAUGCAAAGACCCUGUGGCAGGAGGAACUCUACCUGCUUUUUUGAAGAAUUCCAUAAGGUAGCCUUCAGUGGAGCUGAGUAGAGAGUGGGGGAGAGUGGGCUAAAACAUGAGGGGAGAAGUAGGCAAAAGCUAAAUCUCAUCAGGACCUUAUAGACAAUUGACAGAUGUUUGUCUUUAUCCAGUAAGGUGUUUGUAUGCUCCUUAAGUGGCAGCGGGGAGUGAGCAGAGCAGUGAAGAUAAACAUGAAAGCUGGUGGUAACAAAUUCUGAUACCUCCUCUAUUCCAAAAGGAAAGGCAGAACUCAGAGGCACCAUCCUCCUGUUGUGUUUGCAAGCUGUUGACACAACCUGGAAAGGUUAAAAGUUUUCAACAGACUUGUCAGAGUUUGUGUUCAAUGGAAACUGACAGAGCCUACCGGCUGAGGGGCUAAUUUUAAUAGAAAUAACCUAGGUGCGUUUGUUAAUUUUCUCCGUUCCCUCAAUGACCUGUCUGCAUAGCGUGAAGGUGCUUUGAUGUGACCAGGAGAACAGAAGGAUAUUUUGUGCAUAGCUGACCGUGAGAGGAAUGCUGGUUUUGCAAUGAGGAAGCACAGGAAGAUGACAGAACAAUGAGCAUAAGACAUGCUGGGUGCAUUUUUUGGACCUUACCACAUCUUGUUUGAGAGAAGUGGGACCAAUGCUGAUGAAACUCUUUCCCAUGGUGUGUUCUAUAUUCAUUGGAUGGGCAUCGCCUACGGCUGGAGCAGGGCUGAGCUCUGUACUGGUGUCUCUUAAAACACACCAGACAGCAACAGCUGAGAUACCUACUACCUGGAUCUGCUUGAUUAGAUCAUACGGUCAUAUUUGAUUACUUAGAAUGGGCUUCUGGAGGAUCUGUUGCUGAUUGCACUGAAACCAGAAGUUGUACUUGGCCAAGGACGAGCUAACCCCAAACAGCAAGAGGUUUGAGUUGGCUCCAAAGCACAAGCCUCACAAAUAUCCCGUGAGUCUCCCACAGGCUUGGGGCUCUCUGUUUAGAAUUAGAACCUAAUCUUCAAAUAUCCCUUUACCCUCUUGCCUCAAAAAGGAAGGCAGUGAAGAGCAGCAGCAAGGCAUCCUGGAUGAGCACUGGAAGGGGAGAAUGCUCAUGUUUUAGUCGUGGGCUUUCCACCAGUUAGCUGUGCAGCUUUGGGCAGAUACUUGAACUUCUCUGGUGCUCUGUUUCUUCAUGUUUAAAUGAGAGGAUUAAACUGUAUGACUUUUGGGUCGAAAGUACGUCUCUGCCAUCAGUAUCAUAACAAUUAUUGAAAUUGCUGCCUAGAAUCUUCCGCUACCACAGUGUAUUUUGAUUGGACUGUUUAUUGCCUUAGCAAACACAAUGCAGUGCUGUGUCUUUGGCAUCUUGCCAGGAAAGAUGAGCCAAUUUUCUCGUGUUGCUUCUGGAUGUCAAAACAUUCUCAUCUGACCAUGCCACAGAAGAAGUUUGUUGAGAGUGUGACUGACUGACAUAAUGACUGAUUGGCUGAUAACGGCAGCUGACAGUGAUUGAUUGAGUGUAAAAUUAUCUGUUCUCAUUACUUCUGAAAUUGAAUUCAGAUUGGUUCUAUUGGAGGGUUUCCAUGGAGACCAUAACCUGCUAUAGCAAGUGUUUGUGGAUGCAAUGUUUUAUUGUGAUCAAUACCUGUUUCCUCUGCUGGUCCAAAGAAAUUAUUAAUGAUUAUAGUCAAGUAGAAAGAGGCAACCAUAUAUAAGAAGAAAAAAACUCUCAUAUUUUGUCUCAUUGCUACAUAAAACAAAUGUGGGCCUUCCCAGACUUGCGCUUUGGCUAACUAGUUCAUAAUACGUUCGAUAACUUGCCAUUCUUCUUUUGCUAUUAAUGCAGAGGGUUUGCUUUGGAAAAAAGAAAAGUAUUUCUAGGACUCUUUCUCUCUUUGAAGAAGAUCAGAAUAAUAGACGAAUGUUCAUACUUGGUUUUUUUUUAAAUGCGAUGUUACAGAAACAACAAACAUUUAAUCAAAUCUUAAACACACCCAUGUUAAUGCAGAGACAGAGAUGGUCCCUCAGGCUUUUUCUGGGUUGUUUCCAUGAAUGAUAAAGUCAUUAAACAAUUUCAUAGGCUUGCCUUAUUGAUCUCUCACAAUGGCAUGCUAUGUCUGCUCUUCAGGAAAGCCUUUCCUGACUGCCCCCAUCAGAGUUAAUUACUACUUACUCUGUGUUCGCAUGGCCUUCUUCCAUCUUCUAUUAUAGCAUUCAUCUCAGGCCACCUUGCCUUACAAUUACUUGUAUCUCUUUUUCCCACUAGAUUAUGACCUCCUUGAGGACAGGGUGAUUUUCUUGUUGCUCUUUGUAUUAUCCUCAGCAUCUAGGUGAAUCUCUGAUACAUCACAAGGGUUCAAUAAAUGCUCAUUGAAUUGAAUUAACUGGAUCUGCAUUCCAAGGUCAUCUCUUCCUAGACUGGUGUUGAAUGGGAUUCCCAUGAAGUGAGGCAGCAGAGUGCGUGCUUGCUGGUUCUGUUGCUUUGUCUCCUGCCCUGUGGCUGCGUCUGUGCCCAAGAGGAUUGUUAGGAUAUAUUGUGCUACAGGAGAUUGAUAUUGUAUAGGAUGUCUGUACAGCUUAUAGACUGGUGCUGACCGUACUGAAAUGAUGGUGGGAGGAUACCUAAUAAGGAUUCUAUUUUAUGCUUAGCUGUAUUCAUUCAUUGGUUUGGUUGGAAUCUGCUUCAGCGUACUUCCUCUACCCAAAUUUGGCUCAUUAGCUGAAAUCACUUUGGGAUGAAUCCACUGUUAAUAGUGGCUAACAUUUUUCAUGCACUUACGACAUGUCUGGCACAGUACUAAGUACUUUACAUAUUUUUCAAUUCUUACACAUUGCUCCCAUUAUCCCAUUUUGAAGAUAAGGAGACUGAAGCACAGAGUGUUUAUUUCCUAAGGUCACACAGCUAGGAAGUAGAGGAGCUAGGAUUUGAAUUCCUAUAGUCUAGCUUCCUACCCCAUUCUUAAGCUAUCUACCCUGUUGCCGCCUGACAAAAGUGUGUUUCAAAAUUUAAUUCCUGAACUGACUGCAUCAAAAUCCCCUGUAGUGUUUGUUAAAAGUGAAGAUACCCCAAGACCUACUGAUUCAGGUUGUUUUCACCGAGGCCAGCAAAUCUGCACCAACAUGUUUUAUUCUGUUCUGUACCUCAAGCUUUGAUGCUGCUUUGUUUUCUUGUUUUGGGAGAAGGGCAGGGGUGGGGGUGGAGGCAAGCGAGUCCAAUACUACAACUUUAGAAAUCUCUGCUCUAGGGUGAACACUCUCUUUGAGACUUCUAAAUUAAAGUCAAGUCUUUUGGAUUUUUGUUUCUUUGUACUGCCUAACUUUAGAAAGACCUGGAAGCGGUAACAUGAAAACAUUUUUAGAGAGAAUUACCAGGCAUUUUUGGUAGAAUGAGUGUUUAAUGGAACAGUCCAGAGAACUCAUCAAAGAUGUUUAUUAAAACGCGCAGACCUGCUCCAAUUAAGGGCCCAGUCAGUGGUGUUAACAGUGAAGGGACUGUUCCAGAGGCGUGCUGCACGGGACGCCCACCCCAAAUACAAAUGGUUUGCCAGUAGCUCACAAAUGAACCCCAUUGCCUUGCACUUAAGCUUCCUGAAGCACAUACAUAUCCUGCUUUGUGCUUUCCGCCCUAUAGUAAACGCAAACCAAUGGAGAUGUGAAGCAAUCUAAUAGCAACAAGGCAAACCUCUACUUCCUCUAAAGAGGAUUGCAUCCUCUUGCUAUCUUUGCCGAUGCUCUCCUACAGACCCAUCCCUGUCAUGUCUUUCCUGUCUUUCUAGUAGAAUUCUGGCUGCUCCCGUAGGACCUCCUUGCGGGAAUUUUCCCUGGUUGCUGCCUCCAAGGAGAGGCUCCCCACCAGAAAGUUUUAAGAGGCUUAUGCUUCUGGGGUUAAUGCGGUCCUUUCUGUCACCUUGUUUUCUGUUCCUAGUUAUCUUUCGGUAACUUUUUUCCUAAACUACUCUGAAAGGCAUAGACUGUCUCUUGAAAGCUCAUCUGUUCUUAACCCCUUUCCCUCAUUCCACUGACUGCAGCAUCUUCCACAUACCAUUCCCUCUUAGCAUUUAUGUCCAUGUCAUGCUUUUGUUGGUUUAUUUGUGUAUUUUCUGCUUCCCACCAUUAGAUCAUUUGUAGAAUUAAUGAAUGCCUAUGGGUUAAUAGAUUUUUCGCUGUAUCCUCUUUUCUCUGUAUCUCUCUGCCCAGUUGCUUAGAAAUGCUUCUGUUUGUGUAUUUGUAUCCACCUUCUUUGGGGAGAGUUAUGACCCUGGUCCUUAUGCCAUCAGUGGUAUUGCAAUUUUGUAUGUAGCAUGACCAUUUUUAAAAAUGACAUUUCAUAGUGAGUGAUUCAGACACCUAUCAUUCAGCUUACCUGCCGGGGCCCUCCAAAAUGAGCAGAAGGCCUCUGUCUCAUUCUAGAAGCUUGAAGGUCUCCACGUGGUUUGCCCAGGGGCCCACAACCUCCCUGCAGUCCAGGAGUGCUCCCAUUAACCCCAGCUGUGUGAUUCAGACCAGAUUCUUAGGACUUUUUAAGUGAAAUGGGACAGAAAAUUGCUUGAUGUAUUUUGCCACAUGAAGUACAUUUUGCUGCCGCUUAGUUCUUUAUUGUCGUUAGAUUAAAAACUCUCCUAACGUUGUGUGGGUAAGUAAAAAUCUUUUUAUUUUUAUCUGGUAUGUUUUGAAAAAAAGGAAAAAAGAAACUAGACAUUGUCAAAAUAUUUGCUUAAUCUUGCAGAUUUGGGAAGUUGUAUAGCCACUCGCUCUGACAGACCAGAACAAUGGUCAUUAAAUGAGAAGCAGAUGUAAUAAAGUAUGCAGUAAAAGCCUUCUAUUAUGGGCUGGAAGGGGAAAAAAAUGAGUUGUUAACAGAACACAGUAAGCAUUAUGGAAUAAAUCAGAACAAAACCAUUCCCAAUUACUGUACAAAGAUAAUUAAAGUCUACAAUGCUAAUUAAGGUCUGUUUAUAUCUAUUUCUGUUUGUGUACAAACAUAUGCGCAUAGUUAAAUAUUUUCCAUUGUUUUUUAUGUGAUGCUAACUUCAUAGUUGAAUUUUUCUGAAUUUAACUUUUGUUUUUAUGUUACCAGGAAGUACAAUCUCCAGAAAACUGAAACUCCAGCUUUUCCUCCUUGAUCGUAGCUUAUUUUUCUUGGCUAACUUCAGAAAAUUCUUCAAUCACAAAGACUGUCUGAGUCGCAUUUUCAUCUCUAGAAACUGGAAGAAGUUCUAAGAGUGUGAGGUAAUGACUCAAGGACAACAGCUCCCAGAAAAUAACAGGGUUUGCCCUGCUGCUUUGGAGGAGGUUCUCCUGAAUCAUGUCACUGAAGCACAGCUAGGGCCCGGGACCUGGGACCACAGCCCUUGAAGGGAAUGAGCGGCUGUCUGGGGGCUGAAAGUUCUCUCAGGAGAGGCGUUUUCACAAGGCUUUGUGAUACCGAGCCUCAGGCGUGGACAGAGACGUGUUUUAGGAUUUGAGAAGCCUGUGGAGAAAUUAAGUCAUGUCCCAGUGUACAGUGCUAUGCCAUAAGAAUGGCUAGAACUUUCAGGGGCAUCCUGGAGCUUGACCCUGGCUCAUCAUUUUAUACAUGAAGGGGCUUUGGGUCACGGAGGCAUGGGUUUGCGUCCUGUCUGUUUGAUUCAUUAGAUAUGUGAUCUGGGCCUAAAACUUCGGAGAUCUUAAACACCGAAAACCUUGGGGCACUUUUGCCUUGCUCCCAACCAUGAAAUACAAAAACCAAAGCAAAACAAACAAAAAGUAAGCCAGAAGAUAUAAAAUUGCUUAUAGGUCUGUUGUCUAACAUCAAGUGCGGAAAGGGGUCUAACAAAUUUCCAGCUGGGUGCGGUGGCUCACACCUUUAAUCCCAGCACUUUGGGAGGCUGAGGCAGGCAGAUUGCUUGAGCUCAA
Molecule: long non-coding RNA, 6016 nt
Filed under: Homo sapiens (human)
Lineage: Eukaryota; Metazoa; Chordata; Mammalia; Primates; Hominidae
Description: HSALNT0381607
Source: RNAcentral